GACGAACGCUGGCGGCGUGCUUAACACAUGCAAGUCGAACGGAAAGGCACUGCUUUUGUGGGGUGCUCGAGUGGCGAACGGGUGAGUAACACGUGAGUAACCUGCCCUUGACUUUGGUAUAACUUCAGGAAACUGGGUCUAAUACCGGAUAGAAGCUCCUGCUGCAUGGUGGGGGUUGGAAAGUUUCGGCGGUUCGGGAUGGAUUCGCGGCUUAUCAGCUUGUUGGUGGGGUAGUGGCUUACCACGGCUUUGACGGGUAGCCGGCCUGGGAGGUUGACCGGGCACAUUGGGACUGAGAUAGGGCGCAGACUCCUACGGGAGGCAGCGGUGGGGAAUAUUGCACAAUGGGCGGAAGCGUGAGGCAGAAACGCCGCGUGCGGGAUGACGGCCUUCGGGUUGUAAACCGCUUUCGCCUGUGACGAAGCGUGAGUGACGGUAAUGGGUAAAGAAGCAACGGCUAACUACGUG
Molecule: ribosomal RNA, 468 nt
Filed under: uncultured bacterium
Lineage: Bacteria
Description: partial 16S ribosomal RNA
Rfam family: Bacterial small subunit ribosomal RNA
Source: RNAcentral